RNAcentral lists this ribosomal RNA (424 nucleotides) under uncultured bacterium. RNAcentral's name for it is "partial 16S ribosomal RNA". It matches the Rfam family "Bacterial small subunit ribosomal RNA", at positions 360 to 776 of the family's 1533-position model. The record is from RNAcentral.
AAUUUUCUAAAAGGGGGGAAACCCUUAUCCAGCCAUCCCGCGUGCAAUAUGAACGACAUCGGGUUGUACAGUACUUUUGGCAGAGAAAAAAAGGUAUCCCCUAAUACGGGAUACUGCUGACGGUAUCUGCAUAAUAACCCCCGGCGAACUACGUUCCACGAGCCGCGGUAAUACGUAGGGAGGAAGCGUUAAUCGGAAUUACUGGGCGUAAAGCGUGUGUAGGCGGUUCGGAAAGAAAGAUGUGAAAUCCCAGGGCUCAACCUUGGAACUGCAUUUUUAACUGCCGAGCUAGAGUAUGUCAGAGGGGGGUAGAAUUCCACGUGUAGCAGUGAAAUGCGUAGAUAUGUGGAGGAAUACCGAUGGCGAAGGCAGCCCCCUGGGAUAAUACUGACGCUCAGACACGAAAGCGUGGGGAGCAAACAGG